GACGAACGCUGGCGGCGUGCCUAAUACAUGCAAGUAGAACGCUGAAGAGAGGAGCUUGCUCUUCUUGGAUGAGUUGCGAACGGGUGAGUAACGCGUAGGUAACCUGCCUGGUAGCGGGGGAUAACUAUUGGAAACGAUAGCUAAUACCGCAUAAUAUUAAUUAUUGCAUGAUAAUUAAUUGAAAGAUGCAACUGCAUCACUACCAGAUGGACCUGCGUUGUAUUAGCUAGUUGGUGAGGUAACGGCUCACCAAGGCGACGAUACAUAGCCGACCUGAGAGGGUGAUCGGCCACACUGGGACUGAGACACGGCCCAGACUCCUACGGGAGGCAGCAGUAGGGAAUCUUCGGCAAUGGGGGGAACCCUGACCGAGCAACGCCGCGUGAGUGAAGAAGGUUUUCGGAUCGUAAAGCUCUGUUGUAAGAGAAGAACGGGUGUGAGAGUGGAAAGUUCACACUGUGACGGUAUCUUACCAGAAAGGGACGGCUAACUACGUGCCAGCAGCCGCGGUAAUACGUAGGUCCCGAGCGUUGUCCGGAUUUAUUGGGCGUAAAGCGAGCGCAGGCGGUUAGAUAAGUCUGAAGUUAAAGGCUGUGGCUUAACCAUAGUAUGCUUUGGAAACUGUUUAACUUGAGUGCAGAAGGGGAGAGUGGAAUUCCAUGUGUAGCGGUGAAAUGCGUAGAUAUAUGGAGGAACACCGGUGGCGAAAGCGGCUCUCUGGUCUGUAACUGACGCUGAGGCUCGAAAGCGUGGGGAGCAAACAGG
RNAcentral lists this ribosomal RNA (765 nucleotides) under uncultured Streptococcus sp. RNAcentral's name for it is "bacterial SSU rRNA". It matches the Rfam family "Bacterial small subunit ribosomal RNA", at positions 28 to 776 of the family's 1533-position model. The record is from RNAcentral. Lineage: Bacteria; Bacillati; Bacillota; Bacilli; Lactobacillales; Streptococcaceae.